UGGUAGUCCACGCCGUAAACGAUGUCGACUUGGAGGUUGUGCCCUUGAGGCGUGGCUUCCGGAGCUAACGCGUUAAGUCGACCGCCUGGGGAGUACGGCCGCAAGGUUAAAACUCAAAUGAAUUGACGGGGGCCCGCACAAGCGGUGGAGCAUGUGGUUUAAUUCGAUGCAACGCGAAGAACCUUACCUACUCUUGACAUCCAGAGAACUUAGCAGAGAUGCUUUGGUGCCUUCGGGAACUCUGAGACAGGUGCUGCAUGGCUGUCGUCAGCUCGUGUUGUGAAAUGUUGGGUUAAGUCCCGCAACGAGCGCAACCCUUAUCCUUUGUUGCCAGCGGUUCGGCCGGGAACUCAAAGGAGACUGCCAGUGAUAAACUGGAGGAAGGUGGGGAUGACGUCAAGUCAUCAUGGCCCUUACGAGUAGGGCUACACACGUGCUACAAUGGCAUAUACAAAGAGAAGCGACCUCGCGAGAGCAAGCGGACCUCAUAAAGUAUGUCGUAGUCCGGAUUGGAGUCUGCAACUCGACUCCAUGAAGUCGGAAUCGCUAGUAAUCGUAGAUCAGAAUGCUACGGUGAAUACGUUCCCGGGCCUUGUACACACCGCCCGUCACACCAUGGGAGUGGGUUGCAAAAGAAGUAGGUAGCUUAACCUUCGGGAGGGCGCUUACCACUUUGUGAUUCAUGACUGGGGUGAAGUCGUAAC
Molecule: ribosomal RNA, 704 nt
Filed under: Enterobacteriaceae bacterium
Lineage: Bacteria; Pseudomonadati; Pseudomonadota; Gammaproteobacteria; Enterobacterales; Enterobacteriaceae
Description: bacterial SSU rRNA
Rfam family: Bacterial small subunit ribosomal RNA
Source: RNAcentral